This 253-nucleotide ribosomal RNA is filed under the name uncultured bacterium. Its description in RNAcentral is "partial 16S ribosomal RNA". It matches the Rfam family "Bacterial small subunit ribosomal RNA", at positions 524 to 776 of the family's 1533-position model. The record is from RNAcentral.
UACGGAGGGUGCAAGCGUUAUCCGGAUUCACUGGGUUUAAAGGGCGCGUAGGCGGCCUGUUAAGUCGGACGUGAAAUCCCUCGGCUCAACCGGGGAACUGCGUCCGAUACUGGCGGGCUUGAAUUCGGGAGAGGGAUGUGGAAUUCCAGGUGUAGCGGUGAAAUGCGUAGAUAUCUGGAGGAACACCGGUGGCGAAGGCGGCAUCCUGGACCGACACUGACGCUGAGGCGCGAAAGCUAGGGUAGCAAACGGG